GGUAGGAUGACUGAAGAGUUAGGUGAUAGACUGUAAAUCUAUUUAUGAGAAGGUUUCUCUCCUACCA
Molecule: transfer RNA, 67 nt
Filed under: Dericorys annulata
Lineage: Eukaryota; Metazoa; Arthropoda; Insecta; Orthoptera; Dericorythidae
Description: tRNA-Tyr
Rfam family: tRNA
About the family: Transfer RNA (tRNA) molecules are approximately 80 nucleotides in length. Their secondary structure includes four short double-helical elements and three loops (D, anti-codon, and T loops).
Source: RNAcentral